GAUAAACGCUGGCGGCGCACAUAAGACAUGCAAGUCGAACGGAAGUCGUUGUAAUGAUAUAGACAUGGACGGAGAACUUGUUCAAAGAAAGUGAAAGUUGACUUACAACAAUGGCUUUAGUGGCGGACUGGUGAGUAACACGUAAGCAACCUACCUAUCAGAGGGGAACAACAGUUAGAAAUGACUGCUAAUACCGCAUAUGCCUAAGUAUCGCAUGGUACAAUAGGGAAAGGAGCAAUCUGCUGAUAGAUGGGCUUGCGUCUGAUUAGAUAGUUGGUGGGGUAACGGCCGUACCAAGUCAACGAUCAGUAGCCGGACUGAGAGGUUGAACGGCCACAUUGGGACUGAGAUACGGCCCAGACUCCUACGGAGGCAGCAGUCGGGAAUAUUGCGCAAUGGAGGAAACUCUGACGCAGUGACGCCGCGUGCAGGAAGAAGGUUUUCGGAUUGUAAACUGCUUUAGACAGGGAAGAACAAAGACAGU
Molecule: ribosomal RNA, 484 nt
Filed under: uncultured bacterium
Lineage: Bacteria
Description: bacterial SSU rRNA
Rfam family: Bacterial small subunit ribosomal RNA
Source: RNAcentral